CCCUUAGAUGUUCUGGGCGGCCCGCGCACUACAUUGGCACUAGCAAAGAGAUCCUAGAUUGAAUUCUUUGGGGUAUUCUUCUAAAUGGUGUCGUGACUGGGAUAAAUCCUUGUAAUUAUUGGUUUUGAACGAGGAAUUCCUUGUAAUCGCGGUUUAUCAGCUCGCGUUGAAUGCGUCCCUGCCCUUUGUACACACCGCCCGUCGCUCCUACCGAUGGAUCGUCCGGUGAAGCUCACGGAGUGACUGUUCACGCAACGGUUUACGAAGUGAAAUGGACCUCACGAUUUAGAGGAAGGAGAAGUCGUAACA
This 309-nucleotide ribosomal RNA is filed under the name uncultured eukaryote. RNAcentral's name for it is "partial 18S ribosomal RNA". It matches the Rfam family "Eukaryotic small subunit ribosomal RNA", at positions 1470 to 1796 of the family's 1831-position model. The record is from RNAcentral.